CGCCAGAUACCGCAUCACCCAAUCACUGAUGGCUCAACGGCAUCCGGCGGCACAAGUAAAAAAUGUAGCUGCCUUUUGAGCGGGUUUGCUGCAGACCGAAACGGAGGUUUCCGUUUGGACUGUGGUUUUUUCACUAUGCCC
This 141-nucleotide non-coding RNA is filed under the name human gut metagenome. Its description in RNAcentral is "DUF2800 RNA". It matches the Rfam family "DUF2800 RNA", at positions 2 to 142 of the family's 158-position model. From Rfam's summary of the family: Actinobacteria, Firmicutes, Synergistetes (1 example). The record is from RNAcentral.